This 478-nucleotide small RNA is filed under the name uncultured Glomus. RNAcentral's name for it is "SSU rRNA". It matches the Rfam family "Eukaryotic small subunit ribosomal RNA", at positions 569 to 1051 of the family's 1831-position model. The record is from RNAcentral. Lineage: Eukaryota; Fungi; Glomeromycota; Glomeromycetes; Glomerales; Glomeraceae.
AGCAGCCGCGGUAAUUCCAGCUCCAAUAGCGUAUAUUAAAGUUGUUGCAGUUAAAAAGCUCGUAGUUGAAUUUCGGGGUUAGUAGAUCGGUCGUGCCACUGGUAUGUACUGGUCUCACUGGUUCCUCCUUCCUGAUGAACCGUAAUGCCAUUAAUUUGGUGUUGCGGGGAGACUGGACUGUUACUUUGAAAAAAUUAGAGUGUUUAAAGCAGGCUAACGCUUGAAUACAUUAGCAUGGAAUAACGGAAUAGGACGUUCGAUCUUAUUUUGUUGGUUUCUAAGAUUGACGUAAUGAUUAAUAGGGAUAGUUGGGGGCAUUAGUAUUCAAUUGUCAGAGGUGAAAUUCUUGGAUUUAUUGAAGACUAACUACUGCGAAAGCAUUUGCCAAGGAUGUUUUCAUUAAUCAAGAACGAAAGUUAGGGGAUCGAAGACGAUCAGAUACCGUCGUAGUCUUAACCAUAAACUAUGCCGACUAGGG